UACAUGUGGGGCAAGCGUUGUUCGGAAUUACUGGGCGUAAAGCGUGCGCAGGCGGUUCGUUGUGUCGGUGGUGAAAUCCCCGGGCUUAACCUGGGAAUGGCCAUGGAAACUGGCGAACUGGAGUGUGGCAGAGGGGGGUGGAAUUCCGCGUGUAGCAGUGAAAUGCGUAGAGAUGCGGAGGAACACCGAUGGCGAAGGCAGCCCCCUGGGCUAGCACUGACGCUCAGGCACGAAAGCGUGGGGAGCAAACAGG
This 253-nucleotide ribosomal RNA is filed under the name uncultured bacterium. RNAcentral's name for it is "partial 16S ribosomal RNA". It matches the Rfam family "Bacterial small subunit ribosomal RNA", at positions 524 to 776 of the family's 1533-position model. The record is from RNAcentral.